UGGGGAAUAUUGGACAAUGGACCAAGAGUCUGAUCCAGCAAUUCUGUGUGCACGAUGAAGUUUUUCGGAAUGUAAAGUGCUUUCAGUUGGGAAGAAAAAAAUGACGGUACCAACAGAAGAAGCCCCGGCUAACUUCGUGCCAGCAGCCGCGGUAAUACGAAGGGGGCUAGCGUUGUUCGGAUUUACUGGGCGUAAAGCGCACGUAGGCGGACUAUUAAGUCAGGGGUGAAAUCCCGGGGCUCAACCCCGGAACUGCCUUUGAUACUGGUAGUCUUGAGUUCGAGAGAGGUGAGUGGAAUUCCGAGUGUAGAGGUGAAAUUCGUAGAUAUUCGGAGGAACACCAGUGGCGAAGGCGGCUCACUGGCUCGAUACUGACGCUGAGGUGCGAAAGCGUGGGGAGCAAACAGG
This 408-nucleotide ribosomal RNA is filed under the name Verrucomicrobiota bacterium. RNAcentral's name for it is "Verrucomicrobia bacterium partial 16S ribosomal RNA". It matches the Rfam family "Bacterial small subunit ribosomal RNA", at positions 355 to 776 of the family's 1533-position model. The record is from RNAcentral. Lineage: Bacteria; Pseudomonadati; Verrucomicrobiota.